UGGGGGAUAUUGCACAAUGGGCGAAAGCCUGAUGCAGCGACGCCGCGUGGGGGAUGAAGGCCUUCGGGUUGUAAACUUCUUUUGCUCUGAACAAGGCGCUCCAUGGGGUGUGUUGAGUGUAGGGGUUGAUUAGCGCCGGCUAACUACGUGCCAGCAGCCGCGGUAAUACGUAGGGCGCGAGCGUUGUCCGGAAUUAUUGGGCGUAAAGGGCUUGUAGGUGGCUGGUUGCGUCUGUCGUGAAAGCUCAUGGCUUAACUGUGGGUUUGCGGUGGGUACGGGCUGGCGUGAGUGCAGUAGGGGAGGCUGGAAUUCCUGGUGUAGCGGUGGAAUGCGCAGAUAUCAGGAGGAAUACCGGUGGCGAAGGCGGGGCUCUGGGCUGUUACUGACACUGAGGAGCGAAAGCAUGGGGAGCGAACAGG
This 419-nucleotide ribosomal RNA is filed under the name bacterium. RNAcentral describes it as "partial 16S ribosomal RNA". It matches the Rfam family "Bacterial small subunit ribosomal RNA", at positions 355 to 776 of the family's 1533-position model. The record is from RNAcentral.